CUCCACAUAUUAUCUACAAGCUAAAAAAAUGGCACACCUUCUAAGAGUGAAAUCUUGCAAUUUGAGAUGAUUGGGACUUCAAAAUAAUGAAAACUUUAGGAAACUAGGAACUAGCAAAAGUUCUUCAAGUUGUGUAUGUGCGUUGGGGUGCAGAUCUUUGUUGUAACAACACUGCAGUUACAGUCAAAGUUGUGUGGAGCCGACCCCACGUGUCAUCUGCAGCACUGCACUGAUAACUGCAGAGGAUCCCAACCCGCGCAUCUGAUGCUGUAUCAAUCAAGAAGAUCACAAACCUUUGCAGCCCCAUGAUAAAGCUUGCCACUGGUUCAGAUCCAAUAGUAUAAUUUCUGCCCCAUGUCAGAGUGAUUAUACCUAGAUCGACUCAGAAAUAACUACAGUUGAAUAAUAGAAAAGUCGUAUCAAUGUAUAGGACAUACUAUUAGCAAAUUGUGUUUGUGCCUAUUUGUGGGGCAGUUGAGUUGUAGGUGCCUAAAAAGUGUAACACUCUACCGAGUACACAUGGGUUUGAAUUCUGGUAUCCCGACACCUUGGUGGAUGGAUGUACCUUGUGAUGGCAAAAUAUGGAUUUUGUGAAUGUCGUCUAGUCGGGAGUGCAGUACGCCAUAUCCUUGUGAUCCGUGGGGCUGAAAACAACAAGUCCCCCUCAGCACGACAGGGUGGAAUGCAGACCCCCCCUGCAAAUAUGCUUAGCCAGUGUAAAUUAGUCCAGUAAGUUCUUGGAAGCAAAGAACAAUUUACACGCUGGAUUCUUAGUGGCCAAAAUGUCCUUACUUGGACAAACAGUACCCACUUGGCUAUUUUUCAGACUGGACCAAAAUCUUGACCCAGUUGGCGUCUCGUGACCGCCAGCAUUGGCCUCUCCC
This 884-nucleotide long non-coding RNA is filed under the name Triticum aestivum (bread wheat). RNAcentral's name for it is "long non-coding RNA (TAES_LNC026239)". Lineage: Eukaryota; Viridiplantae; Streptophyta; Magnoliopsida; Poales; Poaceae. The record is from RNAcentral.